This 468-nucleotide ribosomal RNA is filed under the name uncultured bacterium. RNAcentral describes it as "partial 16S ribosomal RNA". It matches the Rfam family "Bacterial small subunit ribosomal RNA", at positions 28 to 507 of the family's 1533-position model. The record is from RNAcentral.
GACGAACGCUGGCGGCGUGCUUAACACAUGCAAGUCGAACGGAAAGGCCCUGCUUUUGUGGGGUGCUCGAGUGGCGAACGGGUGAGUAACACGUGAGUAACCUGCCCUUGACUUUGGGAUAACUUCAGGAAACUGGGGCUAAUACCGGAUAGGAGCUCCUGCUGCAUGGUGGGGGUUGGAAAGUUUCGGCGGUUGGGGAUGGACUCGCGGCUUAUCAGCUUGUUGGUGGGGUAGUGGCUUACCAAGGCUUUGACGGGUAGCCGGCCUGAGAGGGUGACCGGCCACAAUGGGACUGGGAUACGGCCCAGACUCCUACGGGAGGCAGGAGUGGGGAAUAUUGCACAAUGGGCGGAAGCCUGAUGCAGCAACGCCGCGUGCGGGAUGACGGCCUUCGGGUUGUAAACCGCUUUCGCCUGUGACGAAGCGUGAGUGACGGUAAUGGGUAAAGAAGCACCGGCUAACUACGUG